Molecule: long non-coding RNA, 2491 nt
Organism: Strigops habroptila (Kakapo)
Lineage: Eukaryota; Metazoa; Chordata; Aves; Psittaciformes; Psittacidae
Exons: 2
Source: RefSeq, a predicted model, not a curated record
GUCUCCAUAAAGAUACUGCAAUUUGCAGUUUGGUUUUAAACUUUUUGAUUGUGAAAUAGGGGUUCAGUACAGUUUACUAUGCCUUGUAAGGCAUGCACACUGCUGCAGCAUGUGACCCCAGCGUGCCAGUACCACAGCCGCCCUCUGACCCUGCCACCCUGCUGCUCUGCUGCUGCACAGCACCCAAAUAUAGCCUUCCCCCGUCAGCCCAUUUUCUGUGUGUCUCUUUAGAUCACAUUGAUUUUUGAGGCAAUCUCAAAGUUUUGAUUGGUGCUGUGGGUCCUUGUUCACUGAAAAUCACUUUUUAAGUUGUUUACUAAGAUCUUUAAUAAAGAAUCCUAUUUUUGUGACAAGACCUGGUUUCAAGUGGCUUCUGACACAUGGUGUUUAAUUGAAAAUAGAUGUAACUUGCUUACAGCAUUUUUAGUCUCCAGGGAGUAAUGAUGCAACGAAAGUUCUGUUCAUUUUGAAAGGCUUGUUCUAUUGCUGGAGACUCUGGUCUGCUCUGUGUGAUUGGCAGUUGUGUUAGUGAUUGCAUUCUUGCAUGUUUCUGAAAGGACAUAGGGGCUAAAAUCAUUUUUACUUUGAAUAAAGGUUUCUUCCCCUGUCUGUCUUCAGUUUCCCACAGCCUCCUUCCUCAGCUUGACUGAAAGACCAAGUUUUCCCAUAAUCUGCUGCUGGAUAUUUGGGUAUUUUGCUGAGAUUUCUAUUUUGACACCAAAGUGGUGCCAGUCUCCUGAAAAACAGGGAAUGUGUUCCAUCUUCUAGUCUUUUCUACAGCACUUUCAGCCACAUGAUUUCUGUGUUGUAAAUUAUUAACUUUUGAACACAGGGCUAUUACUACCUCUCUCUCUUCUGCUGCCUGUUGAGUUGCAGAGUUGCUUUCAUUGGCAGCGUGCACUGAGGAAUCAUCUUGGCUGCUUCCAGCCCUGAAAUUGUAGUACUUUAUCCCAUUACAUGGUGAUUUUUUCCAGCUCAUUUCUCCUGAGAACCUUGAAAUGCCUUUUCCGUAAAACUAGUCCAUCCGCUCUUUUUCUUGUAAAGGCUAUAGUCAAAUUUGAAGGGAUAAUCCAGCUAUUGUUUCUCGUGGUGUGUGUGUUCUGUGCUGAUGAUUUUGUUAAAUUAUAGAGGAUUUUUAUGGUGCAAGUCUGGGUCACUGAGAACUCGGUGAUUUCUUGGAGCAAGAUUGCGUGUUCUUUAGGAACAAGCUGACGUACAUCAUUAGCUUCUUCACUGAUGGAAGCUGUCCAUGAAAAAGCAUACACUUCCUCUGUUUUUAAUCUGCACAAGCACUCCAUGAGCUUGCAGUAAGGUGUAAUAAAGGGUUUAGAUGUCUUAUACCCACAUUUCCUCAGUAGCUCAAAGUACCAUCAUUGGGAAUGCAUACCAGGUGCAUUUUCCUUUGUGACUGCCAGUUUUGCCUUCCUUUCUCUAUAGCUGUGGUGAGUAUUGCCUGAGACACAGAGCUGUUGAAUUUGGGCUGCCUGACUUUCCAGUAUAGUACUUUCAAACUGCUUGGGCCCUCAUGUUCGUUGUGGUUUGAGAUGGCCAAUAUUUGUCAGGAAAGAACAAAUGAACCAGUAGCUAUUCAGAACAAGACUUCACUUACAUUGAAUAAGCAUGAGAAGCCAAGAUGAGAGAGGUGAUUAAAUACUUGUCCUCAAUUGGUCUUACCCUCAGAAGCAGUCCCAUGAAAAAGGCUGUGGGAGGCAUUACAUGCAUUGUCUACUUGCACAAUAAAAACAAGCUUUAACAGUUGUUCCUACCAUAGUGAAGUAAUCCUCUUAAAGCAAAAAUAUUUGUAGGUUUUAUACUCAGAAUGUCUCUGGUUUGGUAAGAGCAAGAUACAGGAGAGACGUCAAAGAUACCAGAGACCUUUUUCUUUCUCUUUUCCAUCAAGAAAGCAGCUUCCUGCUAGAUGUAUUAUUUACUGUGCCCUAUUCUACUGGCUAACAUGGUGCUGAAUCCUAUAUUGUAGUCAAAACUGUUUUUGCAAGGGUUCUGGCAGUUUAAAACAGGCUACCAACAUUUCCUAGCAAACUCAAAGCAUUCAGCUGACUGACUUGUGAGUUACAGACCUGAACAACUUGCAGACAUCUGUCAUUGAGAUGUUGAGGAGAUGGCUGGUCAGGGCUUCCCGGGUGCUCUGACUCACAGCUCUCCACAAAAUCUCAAUCAUGUGAUUUAGCAAGGCAUAAAUAAGCCUGGGGUUCUUUAUAGGCUUAAUUACACCCAGUGAAGCAACGUCAUUUUCCUUGGGCAAGGAGCUGCCACAUUGCUGGGAAGUCAAAACCUUGCUGGGAGAACAGGAAGGUUCAAGCAGAGCCAUCAAAUUCAUGGGUCAAGCAGAAGGAGUGUGUGUGCUCAUGGCCCUGUUCUCUCUACAUGUGUACACUUCCACGGGAUUUAGUGGUGGGGUUUGUCUGUGAUGGUAAGACCGAACGAUUCCUUCUUUGCCAUCACUGCUCACUUAAUAAAUGACAUGAUCAAG